UAGGGAAUCUUCCGCAAUGGACGCAAGUCUGACGGAGCAACGCCGCGUGAGUGAAGAAGGAUUUCGGUUCGUAAAACUCUGUUGUUAGAGAAGAACAGCGCAUAGAGUAACUGUUAUGCGUGUGACGGUAUCUAACCAGAAAGCCACGGCUAACUACGUGCCAGCAGCCGCGGUAAUACGUAGGUGGCAAGCGUUGUCCGGAUUUAUUGGGCGUAAAGCGAGCGCAGGCGGUCAAUUAAGUCUGAUGUGAAAGCCCCCGGCUCAACCGGGGAGGGUCAUUGGAAACUGGUUGACUUGAGUGCAGAAGAGGAGAGUGGAAUUCCAUGUGUAGCGGUGAAAUGCGUAGAUAUAUGGGAGAACACCAGUGGCGAAGGCGACUCUCUGGUCUGUAACUGACGCUGGGGCUCGAAAGCGUGGGUAGCAAACAGG
RNAcentral lists this ribosomal RNA (429 nucleotides) under Bacteroidota bacterium. RNAcentral's name for it is "Bacteroidetes bacterium partial 16S ribosomal RNA". It matches the Rfam family "Bacterial small subunit ribosomal RNA", at positions 355 to 776 of the family's 1533-position model. The record is from RNAcentral. Lineage: Bacteria; Pseudomonadati; Bacteroidota.